AGCUGCUGGAGGCGCAGCGGCGAUUAGUAUCAAGCCAGCGGCUGGAGGGGGGCUCCCCAGCUUUGCCCGCUGCUCCCCAGCUGCCGGGGGAGAGAAUCGUGCAGGGCUGGGGUCCCUUUGCGGCUGGACCCAGAGGUGCCGUGGGGGGAGAGAUCUCGCUGCGCCCCUGCCGCGGCUGGAUGCGCUGGUUUGCCAGCGGGCAGGUCCUUCUCCCGGUCUCCGGAGCGCCAAGCGUCCCCCCUGCAGCCGGAGAGACGCAGCUCCCGCCCGCCGUGCUUUGGAAAUAAACCCGCUGGGCUCGGCUCGGCUCUAGCCGCGCACAAGGAGGCUUGUCCGAGCUGGAGGAGUUCUUGCUUUUUCUGCGCCCCGCUGCUCGGAAAAGGAGUCGCUCCAAAUCCGGGGCGCGUGGGGUGGGCUCCCCGAACAGAUCGGGAUGUUUUAUGCUGCCCGGGGAAUGCUCCGCUCUGCUGCUGCCGGAGGACCCGUUCCCAAACGGAAUAUCUCUCUCUCUUCCUCCUCCUGCAUUUUUGGUGAUGUGUUUUUGGGUCCCUUUGUGUGGAAUAUACGCUCACCCGUUCAUCUGAAUUGGUCACCACCCUGAUUGGUGAAUUGAAGGUUCUGUGGUGAGAGAGGAAGAGAAUUCUGGGCACAUGGACCUGGGAUGCGAACAGGAAAACCAACCUGCUGCUGGAGCACGGGCCAGGACUGUCUCUGUGGAAGGGGCUUCAUUCCACCCAGUAGCCCUUUGGGAAGUGAAAUUCUGGGAAGCUUUGCCUGGGACCCCUCAGUCUGCAGAAGGGGAACCCUCCACCUGCAAGACCUGGAACAGAGGCGUUGGAGGGAAAGGAGCUCGGGUUUUGGAGGCUGUGGUGGGAGCUUUCAACUAGCCGCCCCCACCAUGGAAAUGGACUCCUGGCCAGCUGCCCACCGUGCAGUUACUGUGGUUCAAUUUCUCUGCUUUACUCAGCUUCCUCCUGGCUCUCGCUUAUCUCGGGGUUCCCACGCAGAGAUGGGACUUAACCAGCCUCCUUCAAGACGCAUUCUUAUGGGCCCUUAGACUUGGAAAUUCUCCUCUUGGCCAGGAGACUUUCAGGCCGGAUAUGUUGGAGUGAACAGCGAUGUGCUUUUAAGCCAAACGGGAGCUUGAUUUCCCUGCUCUUUGGAAAGAGCCCACUGUUCACCCGUUUCCAUGGAAGCAGCUGUGGAAUUUUUUUUCUCCUCUCUCCCUUCUGACUUCUUUGGGUCUUGGGCCUGUAUGUGUGGCUCGUUUAUGACCCAGUGCGGAGAGCACGUUGCUCCAACAAUGCAGCCCCUUGCCGUGGCAGUAGCAAAGGUGAAAACCUCUAAGCCCGUGCAACGCUGGGAGCUGCAUGAUGGGAACAGCUGUUGGUGUCUGGCUGGUGAUGAGAGCACGUUGGUGUGUUUGCUGGGAUAGUCGCGUGAGAUGCAAAUCCUCUCAUGGUGUAGGGAAAAGACGUGCUGUAUGGUCCUGCAUACGUCAGUCCAGCGCAAGGCCAAGGGGACGCCGUCAAAAACAGAAGGGGCCAACGCAUCGUUGCAACCUCGUUUAAAAAAUAAACCAGGUUGGGUGGGGGACCAGGUGAAGGAACGCAGGAGACCUGUAACCACAGUGAGGGGGAAGAUCAAGGCAACAGUAACAAGCUGGGGAACUGUCACCUUCAGCAUCAAUUAAAUGUCGCUCUUAAAAAAAAAUCCAUUGCCUCUCUUGCUACUCAAUUCCUUCUGCCUUAGCUCUGAGACACCUCUACGCUGGGCCCUGUCAGACAGCUGGAGAGUGGAAGCCUGACACGGUGUAAGCAGGAGUUCAGGCCCCAACAUGCAUCCAGCUCAAGUGGCAACUCUGAAUUUUAAUUCCUCUCCCUUAAUGUGUGUGGUUUUCAACUCCCAAACCUGAGUGGUGUCAUUCCCCACCUCCCAAUAUUCAUGCAAAGCACAAGAAGGUGCCCUGUGGAACUAUACAGUAAAAAGAGAUCUAACUAAUACAGAGAUUGAAAAUAUUUUUCAAAACGGACAAGAUUUAUGCCUUCUUCAAUUCUCCGUAGGAGCUAUUUUCUCAUUGAAGACAAGUUAGAAUAAAGACUGUAUGUUUAAUAUGAUUGAA
Molecule: long non-coding RNA, 2122 nt
Organism: Mauremys reevesii (Reeves's turtle)
Lineage: Eukaryota; Metazoa; Chordata; Testudines; Geoemydidae
Exons: 2
Source: RefSeq, a predicted model, not a curated record